This 1488-nucleotide ribosomal RNA is filed under the name uncultured rumen bacterium. Its description in RNAcentral is "16S ribosomal RNA". It matches the Rfam family "Bacterial small subunit ribosomal RNA". The record is from RNAcentral.
ACGCUGGCGGCGUGCCUAACACAUGCAAGUCGACCGUUGACUGAGAUGACUAAGUCUUCGGACAAAGGAAUUGACUGUCGAGUGGCGGACGGGUGAGUAACGCGUGGAUAACCUGCCUCAUACAGGGGGAUAACAGAGGGAAACUUCUGCUAAUACCGCAUAAGCGCACAGUAACGCAUGUUACAGUGUGAAAAACUCCGGUGGUAUGAGAUGGAUCCGCGUCCGAUUAGCCAGUUGGCGGGGUAACGGCCCACCAAAGCGACGAUCGGUAGCCGGCCUGAGAGGGCGGACGGCCACAUUGGGACUGAGACACGGCCCAGACUCCUACGGGAGGCAGCAGUGGGGGAUAUUGCACAAUGGAGGAAACUCUGAUGCAGCGACGCCGCGUGGGUGAAGAAGUAUUUCGGUAUGUAAAGCCCUAUCAGCAGGGACGAUAAUGACGGUACCUGACUAAGAAGCCCCGGCUAACUACGUGCCAGCAGCCGCGGUAAUACGUAGGGGGCAAGCGUUAUCCGGAUUUACUGGGUGUAAAGGGAGCGCAGAUGGACAGACAAGUCAGAUGUGAAAGCACGGGACUUAACCCCGUGAUUGCAUUUGAAACUGCCGGUCUAGAGUACUGGAGAGGUAAGCAGAAUUCCUAGUGUAGCGGUGAAAUGCGUAGAUAUUAGGAAGAAUACCGGUGGCGAAAGGCGGCUUACUGGACCAGANACNGNCNNUGAGGCUCGAAAGCGUGGGGAGCAAACAGGAUUAGAUACCCCUGGUAGCCCCACGCCCUAAAACGAUGAAUACCAUGNNNCUNGCGAGCAGAGCUCGUCGGUGCCGAAAGCAAACGCAUUAAGUAUUCCACCUGGGGGAGUACGUUGGCAAGAAUGGAACUCAAAGGAAAUUGACGGGGACCCGCACAAGCGGUGGAGCAUGUGGUUUAAUUCGAAGCAACGCGAAGAACCUUACCAAGUCUUGAGAUCCUGAUGAAUAACUGGUAAUGCAGUUAGCCCUUCGGGGCAUCAGAGACAGGUGGUGCAUGGUUGUCGUCAGCUCGUGUCGUGAGAUGUUGGGUCAAGUCCCGCAACGAGCGCAACCCUUACCUUCAGUAGCCAGCACGUCAAGGUGGGCACUCUGGAAAAAAAACCGGGGACAACCCGGAGGAAGGUGGGGAUGACGUCAAAUCAUCAUGCCCCUUAUGACUUGGGCUACACACGUGCUACAAUGGCGGUCACAAAGAGAAGCGAGACUGAGAGGUGGAGCAAAUCUCAAAAAGGCCGUCCCAGUUCGGACUGUAGUCUGCAACUCGACUACACGAAGCUGGAAUCGCUAGUAAUCGCAGAUCAGAAUGCUGCGGUGAAUACGUUCCCGGGUCUUGUACACAACGCCCGUCACACCAUGGGAGUCGGAGAUGCCCGAAGCCGGUGGCCUAACCGCAAGGAAGGAGCCGUCGCCAUGCUCGUGAGGGCGCGGUAACUGGGGUGAAGUCGUAACAAGGUAACCGUA